UCCCUGGUGGUCCAGUGGUUAGGCCUUCACCUUCCAAUGUGGAGGGUGCAGGUUUGAUUCCUGGUCGGGGAG
This 72-nucleotide transfer RNA is filed under the name Bos taurus (domestic cattle). It matches the Rfam family "tRNA". Rfam says of the family: Transfer RNA (tRNA) molecules are approximately 80 nucleotides in length. The record is from Rfam by way of RNAcentral. Lineage: Eukaryota; Metazoa; Chordata; Mammalia; Artiodactyla; Bovidae. RNAcentral also lists the same sequence under 2 other names.